UACGUAGGAUCCAAGCGUUAUCCGGAAUUACUGGGCGUAAAGCGUACGUAGGUGGAGAUUUAAGUGAGAUGCGAAAUCUGGCGGCUCAACCGUCUAGACUGUGUCUCAUACUGGGUUUCUUGAGGUUGGCAGAGGCAAGUGGAAUUUCCGGUGUAGCAGUGAAAUGCGUAGAGAUCGGAAGGAACACCAAUGGCGAAGGCGGCUUGCUGGGCCACACCUGACACUGAGGUACGAAAGCGUGGGGAGCGAACAAG
Molecule: ribosomal RNA, 254 nt
Filed under: uncultured bacterium
Lineage: Bacteria
Description: partial 16S ribosomal RNA
Rfam family: Bacterial small subunit ribosomal RNA
Source: RNAcentral